This 292-nucleotide ribosomal RNA is filed under the name uncultured eukaryote. Its description in RNAcentral is "partial 18S ribosomal RNA". It matches the Rfam family "Eukaryotic small subunit ribosomal RNA", at positions 6 to 306 of the family's 1831-position model. The record is from RNAcentral.
GGUUGAUCCUGCCAGUAGUCAUAUGCUUGUCCUAAAGAUUAAGCCAUGCAUGUCUAAGUAUAAACCUUUAUACGGUGAAACUGCGAAUGGCUCAUUAUAUCAGUUAUAAUUUACUUGAUGAUCACUUUACUACUUGGAUAACCGUGGUAAUUCUAGAGCUAAUACAUGCAAAGGACCCAACUCACGAAGGGUCGUAUUUAUUAGAUAAAAACCAAUGCCUUCGGGCCACUGGUGAGUCAUGAUAACUGCGCGGAUCGCAUGGCCUUGAGCCGGCGACGCUUCAUUCAAAUUU